RNAcentral lists this ribosomal RNA (601 nucleotides) under Salmonella enterica subsp. enterica serovar Weltevreden. Its description in RNAcentral is "partial 23S ribosomal RNA". It matches the Rfam family "Bacterial large subunit ribosomal RNA", at positions 2164 to 2764 of the family's 2925-position model. The record is from RNAcentral. Lineage: Bacteria; Pseudomonadati; Pseudomonadota; Gammaproteobacteria; Enterobacterales; Enterobacteriaceae.
GUGGACGCCAGUCUGCGUGGAGCCGACCUUGAAAUACCACCCUUUAAUGUUUGAUGUUCUAACGUGGACCCGUUACCCGGGUUGCGGACAGUGUCUGGUGGGUAGUUUGACUGGGGCGGUCUCCUCCUAAAGAGUAACGGAGGAGCACGAAGGUUGGCUAAUCCUGGUCGGACAUCAGGAGGUUAGUGCAAUGGCAUAAGCCAGCUUGACUGCGAGCGUGACGGCGCGAGCAGGUGCGAAAGCAGGUCAUAGUGAUCCGGUGGUUCUGAAUGGAAGGGCCAUCGCUCAACGGAUAAAAGGUACUCCGGGGAUAACAGGCUGAUACCGCCCAAGAGUUCAUAUCGACGGCGGUGUUUGGCACCUCGAUGUCGGCUCAUCACAUCCUGGGGCUGAAGUAGGUCCCAAGGGUAUGGCUGUUCGCCAUUUAAAGUGGUACGCGAGCUGGGUUUAGAACGUCGUGAGACAGUUCGGUCCCUAUCUGCCGUGGGCGCUGGAGAACUGAGGGGGGCUGCUCCUAGUACGAGAGGACCGGAGUGGACGCAUCACUGGUGUUCGGGUUGUCAUGCCAAUGGCACUGCCCGGUAGCUAAAUGCGGAAGAGA